RNAcentral lists this ribosomal RNA (895 nucleotides) under uncultured Porphyromonas sp. RNAcentral's name for it is "bacterial SSU rRNA". It matches the Rfam family "Bacterial small subunit ribosomal RNA". The record is from RNAcentral. Lineage: Bacteria; Pseudomonadati; Bacteroidota; Bacteroidia; Bacteroidales; Porphyromonadaceae.
GAUGAACGCUAGCGAUAGGCCUAACACAUGCAAGUCGAGGGGCAGCAUGGUCUUAGCUUGCUAAGACUGAUGGCGACCGGCGCACGGGUGCGUAACGCGUAUGCAACUUGCCUCACAGAGGGGGAUAAUCCGUCGAAAGACGGACUAAUACCGCGUACACUCCACUUUGGGCAUCCAAAGUAGAGGAAAUGAAAUUCGCUGUGAGAUAGGCAUGCGUCCCAUUAGCUAGUUGGUGAGGUAACGGCUCACCAAGGCGACGAUGGGUAGGGGAACUGAGAGGUUGAACCCCCACACUGGUACUGAGACACGGACCAGACUCCUACGGGAGGCAGCAGUGAGGAAUAUUGGUCAAUGGGCGAGAGCCUGAACCAGCCAAGUCGCGUGAAGGAUGACUGUCUUAUGGAUUGUAAACUUCUUUUAUACGGGAAUAACAAGAGCCACGAGUGGCUCCCUGCAUGUACCGUAUGAAUAAGCAUCGGCUAACUCCGUGCCAGCAGCCGCGGUAAUACGGAGGAUGCGAGCGUUAUCCGGAUUUAUUGGGUUUAAAGGGUGCGUAGGCGGCCUGUUAAGUCAGCGGUGAAAUCUAGGAGCUUAACUCCUAAAUUGCCAUUGAUACUGGCGGGCUUGAGUGUAGAUGAGGUAGGCGGAAUGCGUGGUGUAGCGGUGGAAUGCAUAGAUAUCACGCAGAACUCCGAUUGCGAAGGCAGCUUACUAAGGUACAACUGACGCUGAAGCACGAAAGCGUGGGUAUCACACAGGAUUAGAUACCCUGGUAGUCCAAGGGCGAAUUCCACAGUGGAUAUCAAGCUAUCGAUACCGUCGACCUCGAGGGGGGGCCCGGUACCCAGCUUUUGUUCCUUAGAGGGGGGUUUUAAUAAAUCAAAUUCCAAAAAAA